RNAcentral lists this long non-coding RNA (550 nucleotides) under Calidris pugnax (ruff). Its description in RNAcentral is "lncRNA (ENSCPUG00000007706.1)". Lineage: Eukaryota; Metazoa; Chordata; Aves; Charadriiformes; Scolopacidae. The record is from RNAcentral.
UAGCUACAUCAAUCAGUAGUUAGAUUUUUUGAUUUUUUUUUUUUAAUUUCAGAAACAGUGUUACUACUCUGCAUAUUCCAGAAAUUUGAAUAAAAACCUUAAGGAUAAAGAAAUGGAAAAUACUAUGUGCUAUCCACUUGGCUUCAGCAGGUUUGGGAAUAAAGACAAAGCAUGCCAAGCCUGUGACUGGAAAUGUGUGUUUUUAAGAAGGAGCAUCUGAUUUUCAGAGGAUUUUGGAGUACAGAGGCACUGACAUCUCUUUAAAAAGGAGUGGGAACGCAGCCCCUAAGUCUCCCAGGACCCUGUCUGAAACCGUGGGAUGGCAGGUGGUGUGAAAGGACCAGGGGGAACACAAACCAGUUCAGUUUGUCCUGCCAAAUGGCCUGGCCCCAAGUCUUGCCUUUCUGCUUGGGUGUGCUUCAGUGAGCAGCUCUCUACAGACACAGACAGGCGAGGAGGAUCAGCUUGGCAGAUGCUGCCUGUGGUUGUACUCACCUUUCCACAGAGGUUGAGAGGCUGCUGCUCUUCAGGACAGAAUCUUCAUCUCUAG